UGAUGAGUUUAAGGAUAACAUGAGGCGAAUUGCUCGGCAUCUCAAGAGCCUUUCUGAGAAGACUCGCGUCAUCUUUCUCGGUGUUCCUCCUGUCAAUGAGGAUAUGAUCCGCGAAUUUUUUGGUAAUGACACUGGUCGAACCAAUGAGGGCUGCAGGAUAUAUUCAGAAGCUUGUUUGGAGGUGUGCCGAGAGGAAGAGAUUAGGAUCCCAGGCAUUGAUCUUUGGAAUGCAAUACAACGAAAGGAAAACUGGCUGAAAACUUGCUUCGUGGAUGGAAUCCAUCUUUCAGCAGAGGGGAGCGAAGUAGUGGUGGAGGAGAUCUUGAAUGUGCUUAGAGAGGCAGACUGGGAGCCAUCAGUAUACUGGAAGACAAUGCCAAGUGAAUUUUUGGGAAUUACACCCUUUGAUUCGGAGAACCACGUGCAGAUCAUGUGAUCCCCGCUGAGUUGCAGGAGACGACAAUGCAAAUAGAAUACAAG
RNAcentral lists this unclassified non-coding RNA (480 nucleotides) under Hevea brasiliensis (rubber tree). The record is from RNAcentral. Lineage: Eukaryota; Viridiplantae; Streptophyta; Magnoliopsida; Malpighiales; Euphorbiaceae.